AUUUUACUCUAGGCAGCACACUUCUGCUUUUGUUCCUUCAUCAGGACGAAUUUACUCUUUUGGGCUUGGUGGUAAUGGGCAGCUGGGAACCGGUUCAACAAGCAACAGGAAAAGUCCCUUUACUGUAAAAGGAAAUUGGUACCCUUAUAAUGGGCAGUGUCUACCAGAUAUUGAUUAUGAAGAAUAUUUCUGUGUAAAAAGAAUUUUCUCAGGGGGAGAUCAAAGCUUUUCACAUUACUCUAGUCCCCAGAACUGUGGGCCACCAGAUGACUUCAGAUGUCCUGAUCCGACAAAGCAGAUCUGGACAGUGAAUGAAGCUCUAAUUCAGAAAUGGCUGAGCUAUCCUUCUGGAAGGUUUCCUGUGGAGAUAGCCAAUGAGAUAGAUGGAACGUUUUCUUCCUCUGGUUGCCUAAAUGGAAGUUUUUUAGCUGUUAGCAAUGAUGAUCACUAUAGAACAGGUACCAGAUUUUCAGGGGUUGAUAUGAAUGCUGCUAGGCUUUUAUUCCACAAACUUAUACAACCUGAUCAUCCGCAGAUAUCUCAGCAGGUGGCAGCUAGUUUGGAAAAGAAUCUUAUUCCUAAACUGACUAGCUCCUUACCUGAUGUUGAAGCAUUGAGGUUUUAUCUUACUCUACCAGAAUGUCCCCUGAUGAGUGAUUCCAACAAUUUCACAACAAUAGCAAUUCCCUUUGGUACAGCUCUUGUGAACCUAGAAAAGGCACCACUGAAAGUACUUGGU
This 739-nucleotide long non-coding RNA is filed under the name Pan troglodytes (chimpanzee). RNAcentral's name for it is "long non-coding RNA NONPTRT002201". The record is from RNAcentral. Lineage: Eukaryota; Metazoa; Chordata; Mammalia; Primates; Hominidae.